RNAcentral lists this ribosomal RNA (253 nucleotides) under uncultured bacterium. RNAcentral's name for it is "partial 16S ribosomal RNA". It matches the Rfam family "Bacterial small subunit ribosomal RNA", at positions 524 to 776 of the family's 1533-position model. The record is from RNAcentral.
UACGAAGGACCCAAGCGUUAUCCGGAUUUAUUGGGUUUAAAGGGUGCGUAGGCGGGUUAUUAAGUCAGUGGUGAAAACCCGCAGCUCAACUGUGGGCUUGCAGCUGAUACGGGCAGGCUUGAGUUCGGUAGGGGAGACUGGAAUUCCUGGUGUAGCGGUGAAAUGCGCAGAUAUCAGGAGGAACACCAAUAGCGAAGGCAGCUCGCUGGGACGUUACUGACACUGAGGCGCGAAAGCGUGGGGAGCAAAACGG